GUCGUGCAUGACGUUACUUGGUUGGUAACCAAUUUGGGGAGCUGUUGUUCGUAAGUUUCUACCGAUGUAAAAGACAGCGUGCAGUCAGCAGAAUGCGUGAGGACGGCGUCGUGCCUGCCAUACGAUUUCCAUUCCUCUCAUUAGAACGUCCAGUAAGUCUGCGUUUCGCCGCAUUAGUGAGACGAUGACGCCGUCACCCCCAGGAAAUGUGUCGCAUAUCACGCUCAACGAUCGCGUUCCUCGUUAUGUUCACGUAGAAAAGAGAGGCUCUAAUCAAUGCCUUAAUACGAACGGUUCACACUGUUGGCUGAUAUAGAUAGUUGAAAAGAUAAGCGGCAAAUUGAAUGCUCUCCGUGCGGGAGGAGAGGAAAAAAAACAGGAAAGAAAAUAAAGGGUUUUCUCUACGACGGGAUGUCGUAAAAACCGGAUACGUUUUCAAAUACAUUAGGUUGAGAUUCUCGUUACGUUAGUUUGCCUUUUUGUGACACAGAGGAUUAGAAGCUUUACUUUACCUUA
This is a long non-coding RNA of Gigantopelta aegis, 516 nucleotides long. RefSeq lists it as uncharacterized. Lineage: Eukaryota; Metazoa; Mollusca; Gastropoda; Neomphalida; Peltospiridae. The record is from RefSeq and is a predicted model, not a curated record. The transcript is spliced from 2 exons.